RNAcentral lists this ribosomal RNA (490 nucleotides) under uncultured bacterium. RNAcentral describes it as "partial 16S ribosomal RNA". It matches the Rfam family "Bacterial small subunit ribosomal RNA", at positions 28 to 507 of the family's 1533-position model. The record is from RNAcentral.
GAUGAACGCUCGCUACAGGCUUAACACAUGCAAGUCGCGGGGCAGCAUGGGGGUUGCUUGCAAUCCCCGAUGGCGACCGGCGCACGGGUGAGUAACGCGUAUCCAACCUGCCCUUCACCACGGGAUAACCCGGCGAAAGUCGGACUAAUACCGUAUGUUGUCCAUUGACGGCAUCCGAUUUGGACGAAAGGUUUGGCGGUGAAGGAUGGGGAUGCGUCCGAUUAGCUGGGCGGCGGGGUGACGGCCCACCGUGGCGACGAUCGGUAGGGGUUCUGAGAGGAAGGUCCCCCACACUGGAACUGAGACACGGUCCAGACUCCUACGGGAGGCAGCAGUGAGGAAUAUUGGUCAAUGGGCGUAAGCCUGAACCAGCCAAGUAGCGUGCAGGAUGACGGCCCUAUGGGUUGUAAACUGCUUUUAUGCGGGGAUAAAGUGGCCCACGUGUGGGUUUUUGCAGGUACCGCAUGAAUAAGGACCGGCUAAUUCCGUG